This 478-nucleotide ribosomal RNA is filed under the name uncultured bacterium. RNAcentral describes it as "partial 16S ribosomal RNA". It matches the Rfam family "Bacterial small subunit ribosomal RNA", at positions 28 to 523 of the family's 1533-position model. The record is from RNAcentral.
GACGAACGCUGGCGGCGUGCUUAACACAUGCAAGUCGAACGGUAAGGCCCUUCGGGGUACACGAGUGGCGAACGGGUGAGUAACACGUGGGUGAUCUGCCCUGCACUUCGGGAUAAGCCUGGGAAACAGGGUCUAAUACCGGAUAGGACCACUGCCUGCAUGGGUGGUGGUGGAAAGCUUUUGCGGUGUGGGAUGGGCCCGCGGCCUAUCAGCUUGGUGGUGGGGUGAUGGCCUACCAAGGCGACGACGGGUAGCCGGCCUGAGAGGGUGACCGGCCACACUGGGACUGAGAUACGGCCCAGACUCCUACGGGAGGCAGCAGUGGGGAAUAUUGCACAAUGGGCGCAAGCCUGAUGCAGCGACGCCGCGUGAGGGAUGACGGCCUUCGGGUUGUAAACCUCUUUCAGCACCGACGAAGCGCAAGUGACGGUAGGUGCAGAAGAAGGACCGGCCAACUACGUGCCAGCCGCCGCGGUAA